GGCGAGGUCGCAUAGUGGACUAGUGCAGCCGCCUUGAAAGCGGCCGUGGGGCAACUCACCGUGGGUUCGAAUCCCACCCUCGCCGCCA
This 88-nucleotide transfer RNA is filed under the name Tessaracoccus flavescens. RNAcentral's name for it is "tRNA-Ser". It matches the Rfam family "tRNA". From Rfam's summary of the family: Transfer RNA (tRNA) molecules are approximately 80 nucleotides in length. Their secondary structure includes four short double-helical elements and three loops (D, anti-codon, and T loops). Lineage: Bacteria; Bacillati; Actinomycetota; Actinomycetes; Propionibacteriales; Propionibacteriaceae. The record is from RNAcentral. RNAcentral also lists the same sequence under 1 other name.